Equus caballus (horse) is the source of this 3706-nucleotide non-coding RNA. Lineage: Eukaryota; Metazoa; Chordata; Mammalia; Perissodactyla; Equidae. The record is from RefSeq and is a predicted model, not a curated record.
GGCGCCGCGGGGCGCGGGGCGGGGCGCACGACGGGCAGCGUGAGCAGCAGCUGCCGGCGGGCUCGGUGGAACUGCGCAGUGCCGCGGCUGUCGUCCACGGGGUCUCCUGUGUGCCUGGCAGCUGUGCCUCUGGGCUGAGGACAUGAAAACAACAAGCAAGUUCAUCCUGAGAGCACAGGGACUAGUGAGAGAAGUGUCAAGAGGACCCCCACAACAGAGGACCCCAGGCAGAGGGGCCACCCAACAACAUCCCAAAGGAUGAAGAAGACUCUGCUGUCACUUUGAGUUUCUGUGACCUCCAGUGAAAAAGCCCUAACAACACAGACUUUGUGUGCCAAGUCGAGAAGUUUAUCUUCCAGAUAAUGGAGAACAAAGAUUCUGAAGUAGGAUAAUAAUAAAAAUCAGAUUCACUUUCAGGAAGACAACUGCAAUAAAAAUAUGAAUGGACUAAAAGUCAACCCUUUUAUUUCACAGACAAGAAAAAAUGAGGCUCAGAAGGGUUAAGUGACACACCCAAAAUAAUAUGGUAGGCUUUAAAACAUAAUUUGUACAAAGAAAGAAAAAGGAAAUGUGGUAUUUACUGCACGUCUUCUCUGUGCGAGGCACUGUGCCAAGUGUGGCAGAGGAAAUAAACAAGGAGCCUGCUGUCUGAUAACAGGGACAAGCGCAAGGCAGGGCCAAGUCCAGUAAGCGACGUACAUGUAUACUGGAGAUGUCAGUGGAUUGAAAGCAGGAAGAGACUGCAUCAAACUGGAGGUUGAAUGCAAGAGGGCUUCAGAAAGGAGGAGGAAUUUGAGAACGGCCUUCCGGAAUUAGGAGGGUUUCAACAACAGAGAGGAGAGAGAAGAGCAGCCUGGAGAGUGGACAGUAUAAGCAAAGUCACAGGACAAGUGCAGAAACAGAAACAAUGAUUCCGUAUUUCAGCUUUGGCUCCAGCACAGAGUAUGCUUAGAGUAAAAGUAGAGAUUAGGCCAAAAAUGUGUGACGGAAGAUGUCAAAUAUUAAGUACAAUCUGUAUGUAACUCACUAGGCAGUAAAAUUCCUUGAAAGACUUCUGUGGAAAAUCAUGACAAGCGCAGAGCUACGCUUUGGGAAGAUGAACGUGGCCAUGUCACGCAGGAGCACCUAACUUAAGUAACAGGCCUGCAGAGUGACAAAAGGGACCAUAAAGGACCGGGUCAAAGCCAGAAGUCAAGUGCAGAAAGACGGCGGUGACAGCUCCACAGGGGCAGAGCUGUGAGAGUCUCCAGCGGAACUAGAGGUCCCGCCCGGCCCGGGAAGAAGCGCUCGCAGCAGCCUGGCCCGUAAUGCGGGACAUCUGCAUGUGGAAUCCGCCUUUCUCCUUCAGCUACAGACCUAACUGAGGAUGCAGACCUACACAAACAGCUGAAGCGCUAUCAGAAGACGUCACCUACAGGGCUGCUUUUCAACCGCGUCGAUGAUCUUUUCCAGCGCAUCUUCAAGCUCUACUUCACUGACAGACUGAAGAGCCUCUGUGAGGUACUUAAUCGCCUCACUGAUAAGAGAGGGAAAGAAAAGACAAGGCAGGUCAGUGGUAAUUAAGGCUAAAAGUUUUAUGCCAAAACUAGCAAACACGCAUCCAUCUGGAUUGAAAGUAGACCCACUCUCUCCUCCCUGCAAGGAGGGCUCAACUUUCCUGUGCUUCCUGGACAAAUUCUUCCUUCGAUCCCCUGCCAACAUCACCGUUCUUACAGCCCCGAAGCACGUCCUUCUACGAAGAAGCCUUCCUAGUCCAGCCCACUGCUGCCGUCUCCCCUCCCUCCUGAAACGGUUAAAAUCCCCCUUUCCCACACCUUAGAGCUGAUAGCACAGUCACCUCGUACUAGUCAUUGCCUCACAUUUAAGGCAGGGCUCCGUCUGCUUCAAUGUUCUGAACAUAACACUCAAACAUGUACUUAUUAAGCUGAUAAUGCAUUCCCUUAAAGUAAAUUCCAGUAAUUUCAAUAGUAAAAUCAGAAAAACACUAGGCUACAGAAAACUUUGACAUUUGGAUAUGGUCAUAGAAGCAACGCUCAUGUUAAAAUCACAUGAAUCGGGGCUGUGGCCGAGUGGUUAAGUUCUCUCGCUCCGCUGCAGGUGGCCCAGUGUUUCGUUGGUUCGAAUCCUGGGCGCGGACAUGGCACUGCUCAUCAAACCACGCUGAGGCAGCGUCCCACAUGCCACAACUAGAAGGAUCCACAACGAAUAUACAACUAUGUACCAGGGGGCUUUGGGGAGAAAAAGGAAAAAAGUAAAUAAAAUCUAAAAAAAAAAUCUAAAAUCACAUGAAUCCCCUCACCUAAAAAAAACUCAAUAAAGCUGAAAUUUAAAUUUAAAAAUGACAUGAAUCCCUGAUUUAAAUAUCACUGCUCAGAAUGAGCACUGCCUACUUAAUUAGCUCAUUACAUGCCAUUCUGUAUUCACAGCACACCACUUUACACUUUACGUCAAUAUUAUUGUUGGAGUCAUCACACGACUUGUUCUAUACCUCUGGUUGCUUAUUGAAUGUUUCAUGUGUGGCUGCCACACCCCUCCAAUUUAGUAUAGAUGAUGCUUCUUGAGAACCGGAGCUGUGUCAUCCUUUGUCAGAGUGCUAAGAACACUCAAGGUGGCCCAUAAACACUUGAUGAUUAAGUCCCUACAAUCACACACUUAUUGGGUGAAUCCUGGGACAGCUCUUAGGAUCUUAGGGCCUUCUCAAGGCCCGUGAAGCCAUAUAGGCGCUGGCCCCUGCUGAAUCUCACUAGACUCAGCCAGCAUCUCUGGCCUUCCUGGGGCUCUCCUGCCGCCGGGGCUUGACAUGGUCAUUUCCCCUCAUUCUUCCCUUCACCUACUCAAGUCCUGCUCAUCCUUCAACACUCAGCUCAAACCACUUCUUCAAUGAAGCCUGCCUUGACUCCAGAGCAGCCACCUUGUUAUACAUUAUCACAGAACUUCUUUCACAAUUGAACUUAAAUUGUGAAUUAUUUAAUGUCCACAGUAGACAGAGUUCUAAGAUGACUCCUAAUGAUCCACGCCUCCUGGUAAUCACACCCAUGUGCAAUCCUCUCCCCUUGAGUGUGGGCUGGACCUAGUGACUUGCUUCUAACAAUAGAAUAUAGCAAUUGUGAUGAAACAUUUUACUGUAUUGUAAUUUUAAAAAUAAAAUUUCUAAAGUGACAAAAUGUCACUUCCUUGAUUAGGUUACAAAAGACUGUGACUUCUGUCUUGCUGGCAGAACUCUUGCUGGCUUUGGUGAAGCAACCUGCCAUGUUAGAAGGGCCGACAUGGCAAGGAACUGAGGGAGGCCUCCAGCAAACAGCCAGCAAGGACUGAGGCCCUCAGUCCAACAAUCCUGACAGCCACUGAAUGAGCUUGGAAGCAAAGCCUGCCCAAGUGACAUCUGACAUGACCCCAUCUUGACGGCAGUCCCGUGAGAGACCCUGAAGCUGAGGACUCAGCUAAGCCAACCUGAAUUCCCGAACCACAGAAAAUGUGAGAAAAUCAGUGUGUAUUGUUUUAAAUCUCUAAGUUUUGGGGUAACUUGUUACGCAGCCAUAAAUAACUAAUACACUAUCUGCCCUGGGAGCUCCACAAUGUCUUACUCUCUCUUGUCCUUCCUUGCCCCAGAACAGGGCUUUGCUGCUAACAGAUCUCAGAGUAUUUCUGACUGAGUUAAUUAAUGAAUGACAGCUUAAUAUUAAGUCAAAUUCUAAGUCAAAAAAAA